CAGUAGCCGCGGUAAAACAGAGGGUGCGAGCGUUAAUCGGAUUUACUGGGCGUAAAGCGUGCGUAGGCGGCUUCUUAAGUCGGAUGUGAAAUCCCUGAGCUUAACUUAGGAAUUGCAUUCGAUACUGGGAAGCUAGAGUAUGGGAGAGGAUGGUAGAAUUCCAGGUGUAGCGGUGAAAUGCGUGGAGAUCUGGAGGAAUACCGAUGGCGAAGGCAGCCAUCUGGCCUAAUACUGACGCUGAGGUACGAAAGCAUGGGGAGCAAACAGGAUUAGAUACCCCGGUAGUCCCUGUCUCUUAUAC
Molecule: ribosomal RNA, 301 nt
Filed under: uncultured bacterium
Lineage: Bacteria
Description: partial 16S ribosomal RNA
Rfam family: Bacterial small subunit ribosomal RNA
Source: RNAcentral